GCCAAGGACUUGAAGAGAAUAGAAUUUUACAAAUACUUUGGAGAAAAGGGAGCACAAGAUAUAAGAAAAGGACAUUAAUAAAUAAAAAGACUGGAAGAGGAGAUUAGGACACAGACACACACAGAGGGAAGACCAUGGGAAGACACAGAGGGAAGAUGGCCAUGGAAAAGCUAGAGAGAGAGAGUUCUCAGAAGAAGUAACUCUGCCAACACCUUGAUCUCAGAUUUCUAGCCUCCAAAGGUUAUACCAUGCAGUUUCUCAAAACUAUUUCAAGGACAUGUUGGAAGGAACUGGAGGUUGCAGUUGACUCUGUUGUAGCCUUGCCAGCAUACGUUUUCUGGACUGAAAGCACCUGUCUCUCACUUUCUACAAUGUCAAGAGAAUGAGAAGACAAGCCUCAGAAUGAGAAGAAACAUUUGUAAAAGAUACAUCUAAUAAAGCAGUUUUAUCCAAAAUAUAUAAUACAAAGAUCUCUUGAGACUCAACAUUAAGGAAGCAAACAACCAGAAUAAAAAAUGAGCUCCAGAUACUAACAGCCACCUCAUCAAAGACAAUACACAGAUAACAAAUUACCAUAUGAAAAUGUGGUCUCUAUCAUAUGUCAUCAUGGAAAUUCAAAUUAAAGCCACAGUGAGAUACCACUACACACCUAUAAGAAUAGCCAAAAUCCAGAAUACAGACAACACCAUACGCUAAUGAGGAUUAGGAGCAACAGGAACUCGUAUUCAUGCUGGUGGGAAUGCAGCAAGGAACAUUUCCCUCUCUGGAUACAUGUGUUUCAGAUCACAAAGCCAUAGAUGAGAGGAGUCUCUCUUUCUAAAUCACUUUUUGAAGAACACCUACUCAAGAGAGUCACCUGACCCCGUUGGAAUAUAAGAUGUGUGGGAAAUCUACCUUAUUGCAUUAAACUACUCAGAUUUUUGUGUGGUUGGUUAAA
Molecule: long non-coding RNA, 937 nt
Filed under: Homo sapiens (human)
Lineage: Eukaryota; Metazoa; Chordata; Mammalia; Primates; Hominidae
Description: HSALNT0343018
Source: RNAcentral